AUGAACGCUGGCGGCGUGCCUAAUACAUGCAAGUCGAGCGAACGGACGAGAAGCUUGCUUCUCUGAUGUUAGCGGCGGACGGGUGAGUAACACGUGGAUAACCUACCUAUAAGACUGGGAUACUUCGGGAAACCGGAGCUAAUACCGGAUAAUAUUUUGAAACGCAUGGUUCAAAAGUGAAAGACGGUCUUGCUGUCACUUAUAGAUGGAUCCGCGCUGCAUUAGCUAGUUGGUAAGGUAACGGCUUACCAAGGCAACGAUGCAUAGCCGACCUGAGAGGGUGAUCGGCCACACUGGAACUGAGACACGGUCCAGACUCCUACGGGAGGCAGCAGUAGGGAAUCUUCCGCAAUGGGCGAAAGCCUGACGGAGCAACGCCGCGUGAGUGAUGAAGGUCUUCGGAUCGUAAAACUCUGUUAUUAGGGAAGAACAUAUGUGUAAGUAACUGUGCACAUCUUGACGGUACCUAAUCAGAAAGCCACGGCUAACUACGUG
RNAcentral lists this ribosomal RNA (495 nucleotides) under uncultured bacterium. RNAcentral's name for it is "partial 16S ribosomal RNA". It matches the Rfam family "Bacterial small subunit ribosomal RNA", at positions 29 to 507 of the family's 1533-position model. The record is from RNAcentral.